This 491-nucleotide ribosomal RNA is filed under the name Hylodes phyllodes (Boraceia tree toad). Its description in RNAcentral is "partial small subunit ribosomal RNA". It matches the Rfam family "Bacterial small subunit ribosomal RNA", at positions 794 to 1522 of the family's 1533-position model. The record is from RNAcentral. RNAcentral also lists the same sequence under 1 other name. Lineage: Eukaryota; Metazoa; Chordata; Amphibia; Anura; Hylodidae.
GCUUGAUCGUAAACUUUAAAUUACACCUCCAAUCGCCAGAGAACUACGAGCAAAGCUUAAAACUCAAAGGACUUGACGGUACCCCACAUCCCCCUAGAGGAGCCUGUCCUAUAAUCGAUAAUCCUCGUUAAACCUCACCACUUCUUGCUUCUCAGCCUGUAUACCUCCGUCGUCAGCUUACCACGUGAGCGAAAUUCAGUGAGCUUAAUGUCCACACGCCCACACGUCAGGUCAAGGUGCAGUAAAUGAAGUGGCAAGAGAUGGGCUACACUUUCUAAAAUAGAAUACACGAAAGACCACAUAUGAAAACUGGUCAAAAGGCGGAUUUAGUAGUAAAAGAAAACCAGAGUGUUUCUUUUAAUUCGGCACUGGGGUGUGUACACACCGCCCGUCACCCUCUUCAAAGUCUAAUUAUAGUAUAUAACCACAUAGUGCCCCACAGAAGAGGCAAGUCGUAACAUGGUAAGUAUACCGGAAGGUGUGCUUGGAAA